Pelobates cultripes (western spadefoot toad) is the source of this 168-nucleotide non-coding RNA. Lineage: Eukaryota; Metazoa; Chordata; Amphibia; Anura; Pelobatidae. The record is from the annotation of a GenBank genome assembly.
GCAGACACAUUCCAGCCAAUCAGCAGCAGACCCUCCCUCCCAGACCCUCCCACCUCCUGGACAGCCCACUAAGAAUGCAGCUUCACAAUGAAUGUAAAAUGGAUGCUGUCCAGGAGGUGGGAGGGUCUGGGAGGGAGGGUCUGCUGCUGAUUGGCUGGAAUGUGUCUG